This 896-nucleotide ribosomal RNA is filed under the name uncultured Mycoplasma sp. Its description in RNAcentral is "partial 16S ribosomal RNA". It matches the Rfam family "Bacterial small subunit ribosomal RNA", at positions 78 to 964 of the family's 1533-position model. Lineage: Bacteria; Bacillati; Mycoplasmatota; Mollicutes; Mycoplasmatales; Mycoplasmataceae. The record is from RNAcentral.
GAUCACGCCGCUACUGUGUAGCMGCCAAUGGGUGAGUACCACGUGCUUUCAUCUACCUUUUAGAUUGUGAUACCCAAUGGAAACAUUGGUUAAUACGGGAUACGCAUAGAAUCGCAUGAUUCUUUUGUGAAAGGAGCCUUAAAGCUCCACUAGAAGAUGAGGGUGCGGAACAUUAGUUAGUUGGKGAGGUAAUGGCUCACCAAGACUAUGAUGUUUAGCCGGGUCGAAAGACUGAACGGCCACAUUGGGACUGAAAUACGGCCCAAACUCCUACGGGAGGCAGCAGUAGGGAAUAUUCCACAAUGGGCGAAAGCUUGAUGGAGCGACACAGCGUGGACGAUGACGGUCUUCGGAUUGUAAAGUGCUGUUAUAAGGAAAGAAYACUUCAAUGAGGAAAUGCUUUUAAGCUGACGGUACCUUAUCMRAAAAGCGAUGGSUAACUUUGUGCCMRCARCCGCGGUAAUACAUAGGUCGCAAGCGUUAUCCGGAAUUAUUGGGCGUAAAGCGUUCGKARGUUGKUUAUUAARUCUGAAGUCAAAUCCCAGGGCUCAACCCUGGCUCGCUUUGGAUACUGGUAAACUAGAGUUAGAUAGAGGUWARCGGAAUUCCMUGUGAARCGGUGAAAUGCGUAGAUAUAUGGAAGAACACCAAAGGGGAAGGCRGCUUACUGGGUCUAUACUGACACUGAGGGACGACAGCGUGGGGAGCAAACARGAUUAUAUACCCUGGUAGUCCACGCCGYAAACRAUGAUCAUUAGUCGGUGGAGAAUCACUGACGCAGCUAACGCAUUAAAUGAUCCGCCUGAGUARUAUGCUCGCAAGAGUGAAACUUAAAGGAAUUGACGGGGACCCGCACAAGCGGUGGAGCAUGUGGUUUAAAUUUUGAAGAUACACGG